This 427-nucleotide ribosomal RNA is filed under the name uncultured bacterium. RNAcentral describes it as "bacterial SSU rRNA". It matches the Rfam family "Bacterial small subunit ribosomal RNA", at positions 355 to 774 of the family's 1533-position model. The record is from RNAcentral.
UGGGGAAUAUUGGACAAUGGGCGAAAGCCUGAUCCAGCCAUGCCGCGUGUGUGAAGAAGGUCUUCGGAUUGUAAAGCACUUUAAGUUGGGAGGAAGGGCAUUAACCUAAUACGUUAGUGUCUUGACGUUACCGACAGAAUAAGCACCGGCUAACUCUGUGCCAGCAGCCGCGGUAAUACAGAGGGUGCAAGCGUUAAUCGGAAUUACUGGGCGUAAAGCGCGCGUAGGUGGUUUGUUAAGUUGAAUGUGAAAUCCCCGGGCUCAACCUGGGAACUGCAUCCAAAACUGGCAAGCUAGAGUAUGGUAGAGGGUAGUGGAAUUUCCUGUGUAGCGGUGAAAUGCGUAGAUAUAGGAAGGAACACCAGUGGCGAAGGCGACUACCUGGACUGAUACUGACACUGAGGUGCGAAAGCGUGGGGAGCAAACA